Molecule: ribosomal RNA, 500 nt
Filed under: uncultured bacterium
Lineage: Bacteria
Description: bacterial SSU rRNA
Rfam family: Bacterial small subunit ribosomal RNA
Source: RNAcentral
AGAGUUUGAUCAUGGCUCAGGAUGAACGCUAGCGGGAGGCCUAACACAUGCAAGCCGAGCGGUAGAGUAUUCUUCGGAAUCUUGAGAGCGGCGUACGGGUGCGGAACACGUGUGCUAACCUACCUUUAUCUGGAGGAUAGCCUUUCGAAAGGAAGAUUAAUACUCCAUAAUAUAUUGAUUGGCAUCAAUUGAUAUUGAAAGCUCCGGCGGAUAGAGAUGGGCACGCGCAAGAUUAGUUAGUUGGUGAGGUAACGGCUCACCAAGACGAUGAUCUUUAGGGGCCUGAGAGGGUGAUCCCCCACACUGGUACUGAGACACGGACCAGACUCCUACGGGAGGCAGCAGUGAGGAAUAUUGGUCAAUGGGUGCAAGCCUGAACCAGCCAUCCCGCGUGAAGGACGACUGCCCUAUGGGUUGUAAACUUCUUUUGUAUAGGGAUAAACCUACCCUCGUGAGGGUAGCUGAAGGUACUAUACGAAUAAGCACCGGCUAACUCCGUG